GCGGAUGCGGAUGGAAUCAUUUCCCAAUUUGGAACCACUUUCUCGUCUUCACCAUCUUACAAAAGUGGAGUUAGAUGGAGCCAUAACAGAAGAUCCACAUUCCUCGCAUCACAACUUGGAACAUCUACCAGCAAGCCUUGUCAAGUUAACUUUGAUAAAUUCUCAAUUAAAGCGAGAUCCUAUGGGUAUUUUGAAGAAGCUGCCUAGUCUAAGAAUUCUGGAGUUGUAUAAUAAUUCAUACAUAGGGUCUAAAAUGGUCUGCUCUACCCAUGGGUUCCCUCAACUUGAGACUCUUAGUGUU
RNAcentral lists this unclassified non-coding RNA (301 nucleotides) under Hevea brasiliensis (rubber tree). Lineage: Eukaryota; Viridiplantae; Streptophyta; Magnoliopsida; Malpighiales; Euphorbiaceae. The record is from RNAcentral.